UACGUAGGGUGCGAGCGUUAAUCGGAAUUACUGGGCGUAAAGCGUGCGCAGGCGGUUCGUUAUGUCCGAUGUGAAAGCCCCGAGCUCAACUUGGGAAUGGCAUUGGAAACUGGCGGGCUGGAGUGUGGCAGAGGGGGGUGGAAUUCCACGUGUAGCAGUGAAAUGCGUAGAGAUGUGGAGGAACACCGAUGGCGAAGGCAGCCCACUGGGCCAAAACUGACGCUCAGGCACGAAAGCGUGGGGAGCAAACAGG
Molecule: ribosomal RNA, 253 nt
Filed under: uncultured bacterium
Lineage: Bacteria
Description: partial 16S ribosomal RNA
Rfam family: Bacterial small subunit ribosomal RNA
Source: RNAcentral